GGUUUGGCACCUCGAUGUCGGCUCAUCGCAUCCUGGGGCUGUAGUCGGUCCCAAGGGUUGGGCUGUUCGCCCAUUAAAGCGGUACGCGAGCUGGGUUCAGAACGUCGUGAGACAGUUCGGUCCCUAUCCGUCGCGGGCGCAGGAAAUUUGAGAGGAGCUGUCCUUAGUACGAGAGGACCGGGAUGGACGCACCGCUGGUGUACCAGUUGUUCUGCCAAGGGCAUCGCUGGGUAGCUAUGUGCGGACGGGAUAAGUGCUGAAAGCAUCUAAGCAUGAAGCCCCCCUCAAGAUGAGAUUUCCCAUUCCGCAAGGAAGUAAGAUCCCUGAAAGAUGAUCAGGUUGAUAGGUCUGAGGUGGAAGUGUGGCGACACAUGGAGCUGACAGAUACUAAUCGAUCGAGGACUUAACCUAAA
RNAcentral lists this ribosomal RNA (413 nucleotides) under Bacillus haynesii. RNAcentral's name for it is "bacterial LSU rRNA". It matches the Rfam family "Bacterial large subunit ribosomal RNA", at positions 2515 to 2925 of the family's 2925-position model. Lineage: Bacteria; Bacillati; Bacillota; Bacilli; Caryophanales; Bacillaceae. The record is from RNAcentral.